GAGACAUAGCAUGUUAAAAUUAGGGUGGAAAAUAAAAUUAAGAUCCCGCGCUCUUAUUCUUCACUGUACACCCCCGCGAAAAAAAUUUCUUCUCGUCUUCUUCAUUCCGCCAGCAACCCAAACUGCAGCGACUCUCCCUCCCCAACUCCGGUCACUCAUCUUCACGAUCUCAUCAUCUCAGCUCCCUUCGGCAUCAACUCUCACUGUAACCUCUCUAGAAUCGCCUCCUUCUUCUUCAAAUUUCGGCAUCCUCGGCAAUCGCACGGGUUUGGGCAUAACAAAAGGCCAAUCGCAAAAGUGCGCUUGGGUUUAGAUAUUGGAAAAUCUGUUGGUUCGGUACAUAGAUUUGGAUUAAGAGAUUGAGUUCAGAGAUUGAGUUCGUGUCAUACAGCAGCAAGACCUGUGAUAUUGGAGCCUGUUAUGCUGGCAAAUUUGUGAAGUGCAGUGUGAGCAGCCAAACAAUUCAUUAUACACUUUCACAGGCAAUCUCAUUUUUCAGAAGCAAACUAUACCUCUCACCCCAAACCAACUCCUGCUGAGAGGAUGCAGUCUAAGGAACAUUGAGUAUAUUGUUGGGGCUGUUAUGUUCUCAGGUCAUGAAACAAAGGUAAUGAUGAAUGCCAUGAAUGUUCCUUCCAAAAGAAGUACACUAGAGAGAAAACUUGACAAACUUAUACUUACACUUUUUGGAACCCUCUUUCUCAUGUGUCUCAUUGGAGCUAUUGGCAGCGGUGUAUUCAUCAAUCGCAAGUACUUCUACUUGGGUCUAAAUGAAGGUGUAGAAGAUCAGUUCAAUCCUCAAAAACCUUUUGUGGUUGCUAUUCUUACUAUGUUCACUCUUAUUACUCUAUAUUCAACCAUCAUUCCUAUAUCUCUUUAUUUUAAUUGAGAAUGAUUUAUAUAUCUCACAAGAAGAUAUAGUCCAUGUUGGCUUAAUGGAAGAGAUUGGAGCAUCAUGUGUAUCGUUAUAUAUCAGGAUUUUAUACUUCCAAUUAGUGAAAAGAGAGAUCAGUCACUUUUUUCGUUUUGUUGAGUGGUUAUCAAAUGUUGGAUCCACUGAAGAAGAACGAGUUGAAUGGGUAUCAAAGCGUAUGAUUGAUUCAAAUCCGGGUCAGAUGUGGUUGUUGCCAUAUCAUAAGGGUGUCUUUCAACAUUUACGCACAAAUAAUGCAAAAACUAAGGAAGUCGCGUGGAGAACAAUUAAGUGUCCUCGUCAACCAUUACAAUCAGUACAAUGUGGGUUCUAUGUUAUGAGGAUGAUGAAGGACUUCAUGACAAAUGAGUUUUCAAUGCGAUGGCUAACUAGUAACUGUGGCGGGAAGAACUAUUACACAAAGGAUGAGAUCAAUGAAGUACGUGAAGAAUGGGCACAAUGCGUCAUGGAUUUGAUGAGUACUACAUAGUAGUGUGAACCCCAAACCCUCUGUAAGGAUCUCUACUCUCAGCCCUCAAACCCCAAACCCUCUGUAAGGCUCUCUUCUCUCAAACCUCAAGCGACUGAACCCCAAACCCCAAAAUAGUUUCAGACGCAGACGGGUCCAAACGCAGAUGCUGACGGCUCCAAUCUUGGGCAGCUCCAUCGUAGACGGGCGCCCCCAAGCUCUCCGAUCUUCCUCUCGGCAUUCACAGUGUUCUAUAACACCUUCUACUGCUAUCUUCUUCUAGUUGGACUCCUCAGUACGCCGACCAGACCACCAUCACGCCACCACUCCGCCACACCUAGCCGACCGGACCACCGCGCCACCACCGGACCACG
Humulus lupulus (European hop) is the source of this 1756-nucleotide long non-coding RNA. RefSeq lists it as uncharacterized. Lineage: Eukaryota; Viridiplantae; Streptophyta; Magnoliopsida; Rosales; Cannabaceae. The transcript has 13 exons. The record is from RefSeq and is a predicted model, not a curated record.